Long non-coding RNA from Zalophus californianus (California sea lion), 483 nucleotides. RefSeq lists it as uncharacterized. NCBI's taxonomy places the organism in Eukaryota, Metazoa, Chordata, Mammalia, Carnivora, Otariidae. The transcript is spliced from 3 exons. The record is from RefSeq and is a predicted model, not a curated record.
CGAAUAAUGAAACAGUACUGAAACAAAUUAACUCCAAGAAACUCAAACACCAGCCACACCUGGAACUACUUGACUUGCUUCUACCUGGAAUAUAAUACCUACGGCUCCUGCCUGAGCUGCUUGUCCAUGAUGGGCGUCCAUGAUCACCCUCGGUAGCUCUCCCCUGCGGUAGACGUCCAGGUGGCAGAACACCUCUUGGACAUCAUCAAGGUAUCAGAGAGGAGCGAGACCACAUGGAGAGACCCUGAAAUAACAUGGAGAAAGGAUGUCCCAGGUGAACCCCAGCCUGUAAGGAUGGACCCUCCAGACCAGCCUGGCUGCUACCUGAAUAUCACCAAAUGGCCCUGUCAGUACCAUAUGGAGCAGAAGAAUUGGCCAGCCAAGCCCUGCUCAAAUACUUGACCUAUAAAAUUGUGAGAUAUAAUAAAAUGUUUAUUGUUUUAAGCUAUUAAACUUGGGGGUAAUGUGUUCUGUAGAAGUAGA